Molecule: ribosomal RNA, 372 nt
Filed under: uncultured organism
Description: bacterial SSU rRNA
Rfam family: Bacterial small subunit ribosomal RNA
Source: RNAcentral
CGUAGGGUGCGAGCGUUAAUCGGAAUUACUGGGCGUAAAGCGUGCGCAGGCGGUUUUGUAAGACAGGCGUGAAAUCCCCGGGCUCAACCUGGGAACUGCGCUUGUGACUGCAAGGCUAGAGUACGGCAGAGGGGGGUGGAAUUCCACGUGUAGCAGUGAAAUGCGUAGAGAUGUGGGGGAACACCAAUGGCGAAGGCAGCCCCCUGGGUCGAUACUGACGCUCAUGCACGAAAGCGUGGGUAGCAAGCAGGAUUAGAUACCCUGGUAGUCCACGCCCUAAACGAUGUCAACUAGGUGUUGGGUGGGUAAAACCAUUUAGUACCGGAGCUAACGCGUGAAGUUGACCGCCUGGGGAGUACGGCCGCAAGGUUA